This is a non-coding RNA of Podarcis lilfordi (Lilford's wall lizard), 68 nucleotides long. The record is from the annotation of a GenBank genome assembly. NCBI's taxonomy places the organism in Eukaryota, Metazoa, Chordata, Lepidosauria, Squamata, Lacertidae.
GCAUAGCUCAGUGGUAGAGCAUCUGCCUUGCAAGCAGAAGGCCACGGGUUCAGUCCUCAGCAUCUCCA